This 188-nucleotide non-coding RNA is filed under the name Synechococcales cyanobacterium T60_A2020_003. Its description in RNAcentral is "6S / SsrS RNA". It matches the Rfam family "6S / SsrS RNA". From Rfam's summary of the family: E. coli 6S RNA was the first non coding RNA to be sequenced, but its function was unknown until recently. It consists of 184 nucleotides that fold into an extended hairpin structure with a large single-stranded internal bulge. The 6S RNA specifically associates with RNA polymerase holoenzyme containing the sigma70 specificity factor. The record is from Rfam by way of RNAcentral. Lineage: Bacteria; Bacillati; Cyanobacteriota; Cyanophyceae; Synechococcales.
GUUCUACUGCGGCGUUGGUGACUGCCAAUAAUGUUUUAUUGAUCUAUGCUGCUUACAAAAGGGAAUCGAACAGAUGCAUCUGGUGGCAGUAGACCGGGCUUGUACCCGGAAACUUCAAACUAGAGCCUCGAUACCCACCUGGUUUUUCCAGGUCAAAAGCUGAGGCAAAACGGCGUUGCGGUGAGCCC